This is a long non-coding RNA of Equus asinus (donkey), 11018 nucleotides long. The record is from Ensembl. Lineage: Eukaryota; Metazoa; Chordata; Mammalia; Perissodactyla; Equidae.
CCCCUGUAAGUUCCCAUUUUUUUCUGUGGGGAUGUUACUGGUCUUUGAGGUCGCUCACCCACUACCUCCGCCACUUCCCCCUCCAAGUGCCUCCCCUAUGAAGUUCAGGCUGCAUCGCUGUGCUGUGUGUACUUGCUUGUGAUGAGCCCACAAGUUACCCAGGAACAAGGCAGAGCCCCCACCAAACACCCAUCUUCUCCCACCUACGUUCACAGCAGAUCUGGUUUUACAACACACAAGAAUCACACCAAUGAGGAGCUUUUCAAUUUUUAUUAAUACGAAAUCUUAAGGUUUUAGGAGUGAGGCUUCUCUAAAUGCCAGAUGCACAAGAAACACCUGAAAACGAAAGACAGGGCAGUUAUAUGAGGUUUUCCGGUUUCCAUGUGAAUGCAAACGGACUCCAGGCUCUGACAAUUCAGCCGAGCUGACACUCCUCCACUGGCAGCUUGCCCCUCCCCCGACUCCAGAGCCGCCUCCUGAACAGGAGGAGGGAAACGGAAAGGAGAGUCCUGAAGGCAGAGGGUACAGUCAAGCACAGACGCCGCAGGGAUUCGAACCCCGUCCUGGAAACCAGGAGUGCCAACCACCAGCAUCUUUUGCUUUUUUUUUUUAAGCUAGGAAAAGGCCAAAAAGCAAAACCUGAGAAAACAAAAGAUUUUGUUUUCUCAGGAAAAGAAAAACCUUUUACAACCCUAUGGAAGGGCACUGCUGGAGAAUCUGCUUCAGCUAAGCUGCUAGCUUGGCCAAGUCUGUUAUGUUCACCUGAAAAAGUCUUAGCAGAGAGUUUUUGCAAUCCCACCCAACGCCCUCUCAACCACUGAAAUAAAAUGCCUAUCUCCUUCAGUUUUUACGUUCUAUCUUCCCACCCAACAUUACAGUUCUUAAACAUUGCUCUCCAUUCACUGGUUUAAAUUUGUACACUUAAAACAUCAGAGGUUUUAGUUGUGGUUUUAAUAACCUUAACCAUUUGCAAGCACGUUAAUGGCCUUUUCUAGUAGUGCAACCCACCGGAAGACCUCGCACCACUGUUACCUUGAAACUGACAAUGGAUCAUGCCCACAAGGAUCCAAGCUACCGGCAGCAUCGAGGUGAGGGGUGAAGGGUCUGCGCUAGGCCAAAGGCAGGGGGUGGCGAUGUGGCAGAGAAGUCACUUGUGGGGAGACCUUGCUUUUAACAGGCUUCUGGAAAAGCUAGGGAAAAGUGGUUGCCCGCUUUCCCCCUUUCCCUCCCCUUCAAGCAUCACUUGAAGUUUGGGCUUUAGUAACAGCUGCUAUAAAAACAGCUUAUGGGUUAGGACAAGCCCAGGGGUAUACAAGGUACUCAAGCAUUCCUCUGGAUGCUUCAGGCCCAAAGAGCCUCAGUGCAUGUCUGCCAAGGGCGCUGAGGCAAGUCCUCAGAGGUCUACGAGAAGACGGGGCGCGUUAUGAGGCCGACGCCAUUUGCAGUGACCUUAGUGUAAUAGCGCUUUGUUGUCUCUCUUGCCACAGGAAGGCUGCGUGGUUGUCCUACUUUAAGCCUUCGGUGCCUUUAGUGAGGGGUACCUGAAAAAUCUUAAAAAAAGGCUUAGCGCCCACCUCACCCCUCCACCCCCAGGCCAACAACCAACCUGCUCACAUGCUAUCUACUCCAGCAUAAAGCUGCAAGUCUGUAACACUAAAGGAUUUACCCAACGGAUCUGGCUUAAUAUGUAAACAUAGAAAAAGCUUGUUCACCUGUUGUCCUCAUUUUGUCCACUGGUGAAUUCAACUGGAAGCUCCUUUUAUAGUCUGAAGAAUACCAUCUGAAAGAACUAGUGGUUCCCAAUCCCCACAUUUAAAAUGGAAUCUUUGUUUAAAGUAAAUAAGCUAUUUUUCCUUACUGGGUCUGGCUUCUCUGGCCCUUCGUGUACGUCUGCUGUUUUGAAUGUUCCUGUGUGUAAGAAUUAACACGAAGGGAGGGGAGAGAGAAACCCACAAAGACAAUACACUAAGACCACUGAACUCUUCAACAUUUCCACUUGCCAGUUAAAUUUCCUGAAGACUGUGGCUUGUUUGGAAUUUAUUUCUUGACUCUGAUUUUAAGGUUGCAUCUGGAAAAGACUAAAGGCUUCAGUGCCCUCCCCACCCCCCUACCAGAAGUGAACAAAAAAGCAUUUUACCUAAGCACAGCAAAAGGUACUUGGCUUCAAUCACAAACAUGAAUGCUUAAAGCUGCAGAAAUUUCCUCAACACUCAGCCUUUAUCACUCAGCUGGAUUUUCCUUCAACAAUCACUACUCCAAGCAGUGGGGGAAAACACAACUUUUAAUCAUACUCCAGUCGUUUCACAAUGCAUUCUAAUAGCAGCAGAUCAGAACAGUACUGCGUUAUUACUUGCCAACAGAACAGACAGACCUGAGGUCAAGACAACUGCGUUCUCUGUGUAGUCUGCAAAAAAAAACUAAAACAAGUAAGCCCCACCCCCCUCCUCCCUUCCCUCCAAAAUCAGGGGGAAAAAAUGUACUCAAGUAUGCUGAUAAACUCACUGCAAGGUCUCUCACACACUCACUAGGAGAAUAGAAGGCAGAGCCAAGCGCUUAUAUGCAAGUCAAUAUUCUGAACAGCUUCAUGAAGGAUGAAAUGAAGCUUCUGCAAAGGAAAAUUCUUUAAAAACCCACAAGACCCCCAAGUGCCUAAUAGUACAAACACUGGCUAACACUAGAUGAGAUGGUUUAUAAGCAUUUAAAGUUAACAUGCAAACUUUGGAAACGUGACAGAAUCAUUACUCUCGUGUAACAAGGCUCAAUUUAGACUCCUGUCCAGAACAGGGUAGGUGUAGUUACCUGUUAUUCUGAUCAUAAUCUCCCACCUGUCUAAGUAGUAUUUAUUCCUUAUUUAGAGGGCCUCUAUUGCCAUAUGCCUGGAAUUAUUAAAAUGCUCAUCACUUUACGAAGGAUAAAAUUUGUCUUUCCUGCCUUAAGAAAGUUAAGUUCGUUCUUCCGCUCAAUUCCUGAUCUUUCUUGUCCAUUAAAGAGUGUUCGAAGACAAAGUUUCUGAAAGAUGAGAAGAAUCCCCCCAAGAUUGCCCAGCACUAACUACAAACAAACAAUAUUUUAUUUAAAUAAGGAGACAGCUUUCUAAAAGCAUACAUUCUCUAUUAAAAUGUUUUAUUUUGAACGAUUUAAUGGUUUUCUAUACAAUAUACAUCACAUUUAAAUUUUAGCAACAUUAAAAUAUCUGAUUGUUUUAACAGCACUUUACGCUAUCUUUUCAUAGGGUUUUCAGAGAUUCAAUGCUAAACAAAUUCUCUUAGUUUAUGUUACCUUAUGAAUAAGGCACUAAUCUCAAGAGGCUUUUAAGGAAUUACUUGCCUCUGAGUGAGGUGUGCUAGCCCAUCAUGGAAGCCCACAGGCACGAGUUGUGUCUAAUUUUAAAAAGGCUAGACGGGAAAAUUCCUCAUAAUCCUGGAAUCCCCUAGGGAAGGGAUCAGGAAAAAUGGCCAAGUUCAAUAUUUAAGAACUUCUUAAUAAAAAUAAGCACUUAUCCCUAACAUGCAAUACUGCAGAUGCAAGUUAAACUUAUCUGUUAACAGUUGCCUGCUGUUUUCUGCUCCCAGAUGGAAUGAAGCAACUCUUCUGAUAAUGAAGAGAAACCUGUCUGAGGUAAACGAAAGAUUGGCAACAGCACAGCUUCCUCUCAAUCCACUUGAUCCCACUCAUCUCUGAAUUACUUGAGCUUCUUUUAUUCCAGGAUUAAUGUAGUAUCAUUUUCAUUUCAUUUCGCUUUUUUAUUCUGCUUUUGUAAAAGCAGUAAUUGGAGAUGGACAUUUGAUCUUCAUUGUAUUUCUCAUCAAUUCGUUACUUUUGUAGGUAUAAGCUUGAUAAAGCAUUAACUUUAAAAUAGUAGAUUCCAUUAACUUUAAAAUGGUGGAUUCCAUUAACUUUAAAUUGGUAGAUUCCAUUAACUUUAAAAUGGUAGAUUCCAUUAACUUUAAAUUGGUAGAUUCCAUUAACUUUAAAUUGGUAGUUUUCAUUGGCUCAAUUUUUUUUUGACAUAUGCAGACAAUGUGUUCAUCAGUAGUAAGGAUCUCAGGGUUACGCUUUUCCCCCAAUGGAGAUAUGAAAUAUAAUCUUUUCUGCCUUUACUUAUCAUUCACCAAGGAGCUGUUCCCUCUCCAUCUAGGCCAUCAUAUUGCCAGGCUGGUUAUGACUCAGAAGACGUUAUCUGAAAAAAGUCUACAGAAAAAAAAAAGGUUUCCCCUCCCUCAUCAACAAAAGCCCGCCCUCUUUUAUCAGUUAUGAUUUACAAAUAGGUAAGAUACAAAUGUAAAAUACACAAUUCACAAUAAUUUUGAAGCAUACCUUAACAUCUCCUUUUGCAUUCAUAGGAAGGAAAAAUCUUUCCUACACUAAAAAAACCUUGUUUAUACACAACUGAAAAUAGAAUCUUACUUGAUAAUAUAAAAGCUACCAUCAGAAGAAAUCCCUUCAGGAUCAUUAAGCCACUUCCUUUGCUCUGAAGCUCCUAUAGCAGUAUUAAGUAAUAUUAAAUCACCUGAAAAAAAUUCCAAAAGAGAACCACACACUCCCAUAGCUGAACAACUUUGGCAUUUUAAAAUACUCCCAAGAUUUUAUCUAAGUCAGCCCCGAGGGCUAGACCAACCCCCAGUCUAACAUUUUCCUUCCCCAGGCCCUACACAUUGAAUCCAGAGGAACUUUAUGAACUUCCUCAGUUGCCCAAUUCAAAAAUUGGGGGAAAACAAAACCUAGAGGACGGGAAGUUACUUGCCAACUUGGAAGUUGAGAUUUCCUUAGUUUUUCCAUCCUAAGUAUUUAAGUUCUCUGCAUGAGUUAUCUGAAAUCAUAAACUAAACAAUUACCUAAACCCAACCCUCCCAAUCCCAACCAUAACAGGCCACUGCCAACUACUAAUUGCCAAAAAUUUGCCCACCCCCUUUUAAGAAAGGUAUUUUAAAAGUCACAUUAUUUGAAAACUUAACUUCAACAUCUGACCUAGUCAAGCUCUUCUGAAGUUCUCCUGAGAUGACUGAAUAUGAACCAAAGCUGCACUGUGCUGUAAUUUCAGCUUCAACUGGGAAUACUCUUCCAAGGGAAAAAGCAGCUCCAAUCCCUGAAGGCGUUCGUGCCAACAGCAUAGCAGUACAAUCCUUCUCUAACCCAGUUUGUCAAUAGCACUAUAGCAUCUGUGGAAAUCUUAGAAAAAACACAUUUCCUCCCCCACCCUCUUCCCUGGUAAGACCACUCCAAAAUACUCCAAGUAAAAAUAAUGUUUAAGGGGUUACAUACUUUGAAGAUCUGAUUAAGGGGUGGAAAAAAGAAUAACUACCAGCCAUUUCUCCAAUGGAUAAUUCCGCCACACACCUCAAAGUGAGAGCUGCUCGUGUUCUAGUUUCUAGAAACUGUAAACCUGUGGUGUUCUGAUUAUCCUGAUACUGGAUUUUCCUUUUUUCUGUUAACUUGAGUCAUCUAUUCACAGAACUGAAAUGCUUCAUUACUCCAAGCUAAAAAUAGAAACUGCGUAUAAAACUUGCCAACAUUUGUCUCAAAGUUGUUCUAUCAAAUUCAUUUGGUUUCCCUCAGAUCGGUUUUUUAAAAAAAAAAACUUGCCAUCUACCAUUCCUCCGGGCUUGGAAGUCUGCCCUCAAAAGCUUCAGACAAGAUGAGAAAACAAGCCUGAAAAAGAAAAACCUACGACACCCGGAAAUCGGCCUACAUCCCCGUAGUAAAUCCCUUGACGCUUAAGUACGCAACUCCCCCGUUACCGUUAGGAAAAUAAGGAAAGGUUACCACGCUCAAGUUACCAAAAACAACCCAGCACGGUACUGCCGACCUCGCGGAUCUUUACCACGCCACUCGCUCUCCCCGCGGCCUCGCACACCGGGCGCUGCUCUAGGAUGCUCUAGCUAGCCUCCACUCCGCCUGCUCGCCGCCGCCGCGGGGUCGCCAAGCCAAGCCGCCCGCUAGCUUCAUCACACAGCACAGGCUCCUGCUUCCCGGACUCUGGCCUAGCUGCGCCUCCACGCGUUAGCGCUCCUUCCUUCUUCCUAGCUGCCUUCACCACAAGCACUGGCUCCCGGGCUCCUUCCUAUCUUCACCGCGAACGGCCGCUCGGCCUCCGUCCUAGCUUCAGCACACUGGCUCCCGGGAUCCUGUCUGCCGCUCCUGUCUUCCUAGAUCACUGAAUCCACUUCUGCGUAGCACCUGCGUCAGCUGUCAAUUAACGCUAGUCCUCGGCAUUUAAAUCAUCUGAGCUCAAAGUCCAGCGCCAAAUGGUUAAACUGCUGAGUAUUCUUGAUCUUGAAUUGUUAUCAAAGUCCUUUAAAUUUUCCAAAGAAAACUAAGCUACUAUAUUUAAGGCAUUUCAAAUUUUUAACUCUUCCACAACCAUUCUUAAUUUUUAUUAAAUUACUUCAGUCCUCUUAGUAGCUUUUGGCUGAGAUUUUUAACUGAUUUCUCUUCUAGCUUCCGGAAAUUCUUCUAAAUUGGUCCUGGUCUACAGUAGUUUAACCCUCAUCUUCUCAAUUCUAACUUCCGCAUCACCGGAGAUUAAAUUGAUAGGCUUUUAAAAAAUUCCUAUCACUAUAAAAAGCUAAUUUCCUCUGUUUUUCUGCUCUUGUACUUUAUCCAAUUUUUUAGCUUUAAAUUUUUCUAAUUUUUUCAUGUCUAUCUUGUAUGCUCGUAUCCAAUAGUUUGUCCUAGCUUUUCAUUUUCUAUCUGAAACACUUCUCCUUGACUGUAUUUUCAACCUUGUUUUUUCUCUCUUCUGGUUUCCUACUUAAUUUCUAUCUGGGCCUUUAGUUGCUUUGGUUUCCUAAUUUGUCUAAGUACUUUUUCUUCUGCUUCCUACCUUUUGGCUUUGAAAUUAGUUUUUCUGUCUUCUAGAGGCGUCUUAUCUUCUAUUUUUCCUAUCUUCUAAGUCUUUUCUUCACCUUCCUGUACUUCUGUCUUCUGUGUUUUCCACUUCUAAUUUCUAAUCUUCUUUCUCCAAAUUUUUAUCCUGCCACUCCCAAUUACUAUUUCCAUCAAUUUUUAGCAAAUAAUGCCAUAAGACCAACUAGGCUUCAAAUCACCUUUCCUGCGCCACGAAUAUGAAGGUCUCGCUCUUAAAUCACCUUUAAUCUUUUUAAGAGACGGCGUUUAAAAUAUUUUCGUCAUCUAAAACCUCAUUUUCUAAAACGUUUAGGUUCUAUUUACGUCAUCUGCGUUUUAAAGUUAAUCUAAAACGCUGCUCUUCAAUUUAAUGCCGUUUUGAUUUCGGACUUCGCAGUCCUUUCAGCUAUUUAAAAUUAUCUCACUCCAUUACUAAGCUUCAUCUCUUAACCUCCCUCAUAUUCUAGAAAUAUCUUUUUUCUUCUCUCCUCCUUUCUCAAACUACUUUUCAAGUCAGUCUUCAUUAUUUUCCCUUCGGCAAGAUCUUAUUAUCGAAACUACUUUAAAAACUUAAUGCUAAGCAUUAACUUAAAUAUUCUCGCUAUUUACAUCUCCUAAAGAAUUGUACUAACUUCUAUCAUUUCUAACAAAGCAACUUAUCUGCGGUUUCCUUAAGCAGCUCCUCCUCCCUCUCCAGCCACCUCUGCGCUCGCUGCCUGAAUGCCUGCCGCUGCGUCCGGAGCCGCGUAUUUAUAGACCAAGGACAACUCACCCCGCUGAAUUUAAUAACCCUCCGCCGUCUUUGUGAGGGAAGCAAAAAUAGUCCCUCGGAAGUGUUAAAAAUAGAAUUUCGUUUAGAAGCCUUUCUAGAUUUUUCUAAAAGCUUAUGCAACUUGUCUGUAAACUAUGUAUCCAGAAAUAUUUAAGACUUAUUAGCAAGUAGAUUUGAGCUCAAAAUUUAGGUGAAAAUCACAUAGAAGUAGACCCUCCAACAGUUCACAAAAACUCAGAGCCAUUACUUGGGACUUGCUUGAUAAUUCUUGAGUACCUUUUAAGGCUUUCUGGAGCCCGGUAGGUACUCGUUAGUGCUUUUUGAAGGGGGGUUACAAUGGCGUUUCUGACGGCCUGAGUUUCCAUUACGUGGCUGAGCCUCAGCCUUGCAACACCCCAGCCAUUUUAGAAGCUGUAACAAAGUGGUGGGGGGGGGGUCUCCCCAAACUGCGUCAACUCCCGCCAGUUGUCCUGUGGCUCUGUACACGUUUGGAUGGCCCUUUGAUUCCAGAAAUCUGGGUUAUCUUCUUUAAAAUUCUCCUAAAUUUGGAAAUGCACUUAAGAAAAUGUCUCCAGAAGCCACAACCCAUAUCGGGGGCCUGCUAAGCUCUGAGGUGGCGGCUGGGCUGUUCCCUGUCUUACAUGUUUCAUGUCCUUCUGGCAGCUUCUGGAGUUACCAAAUGCCAGCUCGACCCCUCGGCUCUGGGUUGCCUGCUGUGACAUUUUACAUCAAGCCUGGAGUAGCUUUUUGUUUGCAAAAGUGACCCGUGUCUACACUUCCCCGGCUUCCCUCUCUUUAAAGCCAAAUCUAAGUCCCCUGUGAACACCUAGGUUUAGUGUCCUCUUUACCAGAAAAGUCAGUGCUUUUGCUGCAAGGACAGCGACCUGGGGCACCAGUCUGGGACCACGUUCCCAAAUGUCUGUGACCUUUCGCUUAGGGGGUUGUUUUUCCAGGUGUUUAUUUUACAGAUUGUGUUCUCUCUGCUUUGGCUUCAUUCUUAAGACAUUUAAAACUGGAGCCGAGAACGAAGCGAAGCCCUUCCGCAGAGCCGCGGCCUUCUCCUGCAGUUCCAGCAGUUUCCUUUCUGGAACAUCCUCUGCCCUCCCCCCGUAAAGGAAGCUGACCUAACCCCGGGACGCCAGGACCUGCCGCUGCGCCUCAAGGACUUGAGAGACACCCGGGGCCCGGGCGAGGCCUGAGGGUUUGGAAACGAAAAUGGCGCCGGGUGGGGGUCCCGGCCCCGGUUUCCACGCGGCUAAAGCGGCGGCGCAGAGAAGCAGCGGGCGAGGCCGGGCGGGGCGCGGAGACGACAGGGAGGGGCGGCCGGGACACCGGGACAAAGGCUGGGGGAGGGGUGCGGCCCGAGCCCUCACCCACCCCGCCCCGCGCAGGGAUCCGCGGGCCGUGAGCCGCCUGCCUGCCUUUGUGAGGCGUCGGCUCGCGGGCGGGCGCUGCCGGUUCUAACCGGCUCCAGCCGGUCCCAGCCGCCUCCGGGAGCGGUGGCGGUUGGCGCAGCGCGCCAGUGCGCAUGCGCGCCCCGCCCCCGGGGCCUGAGCGGGUCCAGGGAAGUGUGUGGGCGCGGGGCGCGGGGCGCUGGCCGCGGGCUUCCCGGUCGACCCUCGGCUCCUGCCCGCCGAGGGCUGCCGCCCUCCUUCCGUUUCCAGCCCCGCGUGGCCCUUCUUUCCCCUCUCCUGUCCUUUGUCAUUCCCUCAUUAUCGUCUCAGUCACCCACUAAUUAAAAAUUCACACAUCACCCCCUUGUAAUUAGCAAAUGCCAUGUUUUAUUGUAACGUCCCUUGGGUGUUGGUCUGUCAGCAGGUCGCCUUCGUCUGAAACGCUGGCGGUGGCGAGGGCUCCGACUGGGCCAGCAGCCAAGAAACAAGCAGUGAGAGAAAAUGGAGAGAGCUCCGGGCGCAGCGUCGUUUAAAGCCUGGAGCCCAGGACAGGAUGGGGUGGUGACACCCACCCUCCCCUCCUCUCUCACCUCCAGGGUCUUUAUUCUAGAACCUCCGAAAUGGCCUGUGUUUGGGCAAUAAAUUCAAGAGAGGAAGAAGGAGUUUAGUGACGUGGUGUUGGUUAGGAUGGCAAUUAAAUAGUGAUGGGCCGUGUCUAAACUUGCUACCCUGUAUUUUAAAAACCCCUUAGGCUCCUGUAAGUGACAGUGGCUGUGACAAGGUGGGGGAGCCGGCCUGGGGGUCGCCUGGGGGUCUCGUAUGCUAAUGCCCCACCUUCCCCUCACCCCCGAAGAAGCAGGGCCUUUAAAGCAGCUAUUCUAGGGUGACCUUGCCAAAAUUAUUCUUGUUUCAUCUUUCUUUCUUCUCCCCGCCCCGCUUGCUUUGAAGAGUGGAAUAUUCCUGAGACGCAGACCUUCCCUUCAGACACAGUCUUGAUGUUUGCUCUGGGAUUGGAAAAGUUUUGGUAGAACUUGGGCCCUGGAAGGAGGAAAACUGAGUUGGGUCACCUCCUUUUACAAAUGGAAUUUGGGAGCCUGGGGAGUUUGUGAUUUGCCUAAAAUCACACGCAGCUAAUUAGUACCAGAACCGAUUCUGGAAUCCCCAGAUUUGACUUCACGCUGCCGCCCUGUCUCCGCUCUGCGCCCCCCAGCUGCUGCCGUCUCCCAGCCCUUCUGUCCCUUCCCCUUUCUUUCUCCAGGGCUGGGGGUGGAUUUAGGACCCCCUCUGUUAUCUCUGCUCCCUCUCCCACUGUGGAGCCCAUGAAGUAAAUGUUAAGAGCCCUAAGAUGCUUGCAGUAAUUGUCAGUGUCGCUAAACUAGUCAUUUCCAUUCCUUUUACAGAUUAAAGCAUUUUCCUUAUACUGUUAAAAUGGCUGAACUGUAUAUUAUUUGCUUAAUUCGCUCUGGGUUUGGGAAAAGAAAUAGAGAUUUGAAUGAAGCUCAGCACUCAGGAAUCUCUUAUGCCAAAAGAGAUGGCUUGCCAAGGCCGGAGAGAAAAUUCUAAUUGUUUUUCCCCAGUUGGUAAAUGAAAAAUAUUUUAGAGAAGAUUAUGGGCAGUAUUAACCCCCGUUUUUACUGUUUCGGCCCAAACAUUUACUGCCCUCAUCUCUCCUAGCUUUCAUUUCACAAAACUGUCUGGCUGUCUCCAAAAUAUUCGAAUUCCUUCCUUGUUUUUUUUAUAUAGUGAGUUUCUUCUUUUCUGGAAGAUUUAUUUAAACAAGAUAGCCUAAAGUCACCAUGUUCUUUGGUGAGGAGAUUAAUAAUACAUUUGAUUAUGUGCCCUCCUCUCAGUUCUUUGAGCUCAGGAUCCCUUUUACGUAAAACUAAAUUUUUUCAAGGCAUCUUUGCUCUGGCCUGCAUCCAUGGUCCUUUUAGCUUCAGAAUGUCCCAUUGCGUCUGCUCUCUCCACUGGUGCUUCAGCAUUCUGUCUCUUGCCCUGCGCCUCAG